This 112-nucleotide non-coding RNA is filed under the name pig gut metagenome. Its description in RNAcentral is "FMN riboswitch (RFN element)". It matches the Rfam family "FMN riboswitch aptamer (RFN element)". Rfam says of the family: The RFN element is a highly conserved domain that is found frequently in the 5'-untranslated regions of prokaryotic mRNAs that encode for flavin mononucleotide (FMN) biosynthesis and transport proteins. The record is from RNAcentral.
GUUUCAGGGCGGGGUGUAAGUCCCCACCGGCGGUACAGCCCGCGACCGUUUGCCUGGCAAACGCUGAUUCGGUGAGAUUCCGAAGCCGACGGUAUAGUCCGGAUGGAAGAAA